RNA transcript from Glossina fuscipes, 2527 nucleotides. It is a transcript of the gene named telomere length and silencing protein 1 homolog, with no coding region annotated. The transcript is spliced from 4 exons. Lineage: Eukaryota; Metazoa; Arthropoda; Insecta; Diptera; Glossinidae. The record is from RefSeq and is a predicted model, not a curated record.
GAUCAGUUGUUUAUCAGAAUCAACACUUUUAUAUAGCUUUGCGCACAUUAGUGUUAAGCAUAAUAUUGAAUUAAUGAAUUGAAGUAAUGGCUGGUGUAAUAACAGAAAUAGCAGAAGAUAAUGCCGCAGGGAAAGUUGUAUUUAAAAGGACAGCUAAGAGGAGUUUACGACAGCGUAAACAGUCUGAAGAGGAGCAAGAUAGUCAAGAGGAUAUAGUUUCGUUGGAAAAUAUUAAAGUACGCCAAAAAUUGCGAGAACGUCCACAUGGUGUCAGUGUGGUUGGUCUAGCUUUAGGCAAAAAGCUGGCACCCGAAGAAGAGAUCACUUUGAAAGAUCCUUUCAAUGCUAAAGCGGGGGGCUUGGUUAAUAUGCAAGCUUUAAAAUCGGGUAAAUUGAAAGAAUGUGAUGACGCUUAUGAUGUGGGCAUUGGCACACAAUUUUCUGCCGAGACGAAUAAGCGCGACGAAGAUGAAGAAAUGAUGAAAUAUAUUGAACAGGAAUUGCAAAAACGCAAGGGUAUUACGACUAUUGAUAUGAACAACGAUAAUAAUAGUCUUAACAGUGAAAUAGAAGAAACGAAUGACCUCCAGAAAUAUUUAACGCCUGAAGAAGCUGCUUUAAUGGCUUUGCCCGAGCAUCUUAGGCAAUCAUCGUCGCAUCGUUCUGAAGAAAUGUUGUCAAAUCAAAUGUUAAACGGUAUACCAGAGGUUGAUUUAGGCAUCGAUGCCAAAAUUCGAAAUAUCGAAGCUACCGAAGAGGCAAAACAGAGAUUAUUGCAAGAUCAGAAAAAUAAAAAAGACGGUCCUUCCCAAUUUGUACCCACCAAUAUGGCAGUGAAUUUUAUGCAGCACAAUCGCUUUAAUAUUGAUGACGGCAAUGAGAACAGACGCAGAAACUUUAGGAAAGAAGUAAAUGAUGAUCAAAACAAUCAUCACAAUCAAUUGGGCCCAAAUGGUGUUAAACGCGCCACGGAUGAUUACCAUUACGAUAAAUUUAAAAAACAAUUUCGUCGCUAUUGAAAUUAUUCUAUAUAUUUGGUGAGCUUAAUAAGAAUAAUUUGCAAUUCGCUGCGUUCUAUCCAUUACCGUAUAAAUUUUUUCGGCGUUUUGUUAAUCCGAAACAUAUACGAAAGUCUUAAUUAAUUGUAUAAUUAUAAUUUAAGCAAACGUUAGGCUUUAAAACAAUUUAUCUACGUUCUGUUUGUCGUCCGUCUCUGAAUGAUCAAAAUCGGAAUAUAAUGAAGUAGAAAUCUAAAUCCUGGCAAAUACAUUUUCUAUUCUCUGGGACUGUCCGUUAACACAUGCACAAUAAUGAAAAAUUUGAAAAAACGAAAUUCUAUCAGUUCGCUUAUAAUGCCAUUAAUGAUGAUGAUAAUGGUGAUGGGUGUUCACGAAUCUGUCCAAGACAAAAAUUCUAUAUUUAAAAACUUUUAUUAAUCAAUAAAGUAAGAGCUAUAAAAAGAUAAGAAAAAGGGAGUGCGAAAAAAAAAAAAAAGUUUAAUAAAAUUUUGUAAGCAGCACGCACGUUGAUAACGUUUUUUUAGUUUCUUAACUCAACGUUUAUUAUCCACCAAGUUAAGGAACAAUUGCUAUUAAUAAAAUUAAUAUCAGUAUGAAAAUAAAUUCUUUAGAAAGCAUUUCUUCAACUUUCAUGAUUAAUAUUACUUCAGUCUCAAACAAGAACAUAGCAUGGACAAGAGCUUAACUCGUAAUGUCGUAACGUAAGUCCCUUUAAACAAAUGAGGGGCGUCCAAGUAACUUGGAAGUUUUCGAGCAUUUUACGAAUCCGUAUUACAAAUCGAAUUAAAUACGUGACUUAAUUAAUUGCAAUCUUUCUAUGGAGAGAAAAACAAUACCAGCAGAAUAAGCUUUGGCAGAAGUAACAUAAUGAAAAAUAUUAUCAAAAUAAUGGAGAAAAGGAAUUAAAAUGGAGUAGACAUUUUCAUCCACUAUAAGACGAAUCUUGGAUACCCAACACAUACUUAAUUAAAGAUGGAACAACGAACGCUUGCUGAACUGUCUCAACACUUCGGUAAGAACGUCAACACAUGGAGCUUUUGUUGAAUUUUCGUCACUUGUCAGCAAGGCUGGCUUGGCAGGCCGAUGAGCAGACAACUAAAGCUAACGAAGCCGGCAGCUAAGCAAGGAGUUAGGCAAAGCAGGCACCUAGGCAAGUAAUCUUAAAUUAGUCACUAGUGUCGUUGAAACCCUAUUGCAUCCUUCAACUGUUUAGCUGCUUUUCAUUUUUAAGCUUUUACUCAGAUUCAUCCAAUUUCCUUCCUAUGUUGUAUGAUUGCCUUGCUGCGUUGAUUUGGUAUGUGGCAAACGAAGGAAGAGAGAGAAAGGAUGAAAAACAUUUUGAAAAGAAAAGUGGUAUUUAUUUAAAAUUUUCCCAGUCUUAAAUUGCUCAAGAAGCAACAACUUAACCGCAUACCUACGCACAUUGCUUAUACAAAAGAGCGAACAGCCCAUUACAUAUUGGUGUAGAAUUUUAUGAAAACAUUCGUUUCGUUGUUCUCUUUUUUUUU